Long non-coding RNA from Passer domesticus (house sparrow), 441 nucleotides. RefSeq lists it as uncharacterized. NCBI's taxonomy places the organism in Eukaryota, Metazoa, Chordata, Aves, Passeriformes, Passeridae. The transcript has 3 exons. The record is from RefSeq and is a predicted model, not a curated record.
UGUUUGCAUUUUUCUUCCCUAUCUCAGGCCUCAUCAGAAGAAACAGGUGCUACUGGCUCCUGUGGUUCCUUGAGGUCCCACUUCCAUAAAACAGCAUUUGCAGUUCCCAGUGGGAAGAUGUGGAUGCAAAGUGGCACCAAGACCUCAGCCCUGGUGGGAGCUGCAGUCAGGAGCAAAGCUGACCUUGUGCAAACCUUUGUUGUUGCACCAUCCAAGUUCAUCACUCAGUUUUUGAGGUGCUGGCCAUUCCAUCUCUUGUGUGAGAUGAACAGCACCAGAUUGGUUUAGGAGGUCUGCACCUGGAUCCUCUCCUAACAGGAGAUGUUUUCCUGGUCUUUAAGCAUAUGAUGCUCAGCAUUAUAUACCAGUUUGAGAGAUUUUGGUCCACUUGGCUGACCCUACAACAAGGUGGCAAAGAGUUUGCCUCUUUUAAACACAUAA